Molecule: long non-coding RNA, 287 nt
Filed under: Mytilus galloprovincialis (Mediterranean mussel)
Lineage: Eukaryota; Metazoa; Mollusca; Bivalvia; Mytilida; Mytilidae
Source: RNAcentral
CAUGUAUUGAAUAUAUAUGAUUGACAUACUACUAUCAUGAAUUAAAAGAGGGACGAAAGAUACCAAAGGGACAGUCAAACUCAUAAAUCUAAAACAAACUGACAACGCCAUGGCUAAAAAUGAAAAAGACAAACAGAAAAACAAUAGUAAACAUGACACAACAUAGAAAACUAAAGAAUAAACAACACGAACCCCACCAAAAAUUAAUUUACUCUCCUACUUAUAUGACACAAACUAAAAUAUUGCGCGGUUAAAAAACAUGAUACAAUUACAUAUCAUUAGUGGAC